Molecule: non-coding RNA, 337 nt
Organism: Cinara cedri
Lineage: Eukaryota; Metazoa; Arthropoda; Insecta; Hemiptera; Aphididae
Source: the annotation of a GenBank genome assembly
CAUUAGAUACAAAAAAUUAUCAAAUAAAUAACAAUGAGAACCCUAUUGGUACUGUGACUAAAUAAAGCUCACCGGGAUUUAGAACUAGAAUGGCUUUCAUCUGUAUACAAAAAAAAAUCUUUUUUUACAUUUUCAAAAUUUUUAAAAAUAAUAAUUUUAAACAUAUAACUUAUAUGAUAAAUUGUUUCUGUAAAUGUAAAACGUUGCGUUUUAACCGAUAUGGGUGGGACAGGCCAUAAGCAUGAACAAGUAACAAAAUUUAAAACGGAGAUUAUUUUCUUUCGAAGGCUUAUGUAUCUUUUUUCAUUGCCCUAAAAAACAGUUGAACCUAUUAAAA